UACGGGGGGGGCUAGCGUUGUUCGGAAUUACUGGGCGUAAAGCGCACGUAGGCGGACUGGAAAGUCAGGGGUGAAAUCCCGGGGCUCAACCCCGGAACUGCCUUUGAAACUCCCAGUCUUGAGGUCGAGAGAGGUGAGUGGAAGUCCGAGUGUAGAGGUGAAAUUCGUAGAUAUUCGGAGGAACACCAGUGGCGAAGGCGGCUCACUGGCUCGAUACUGACGCCGAGGUGCGAAAGCGUGGGGAGCAAACAGG
Molecule: ribosomal RNA, 253 nt
Filed under: uncultured bacterium
Lineage: Bacteria
Description: partial 16S ribosomal RNA
Rfam family: Bacterial small subunit ribosomal RNA
Source: RNAcentral